RNAcentral lists this ribosomal RNA (1343 nucleotides) under uncultured eukaryote. RNAcentral describes it as "partial small subunit ribosomal RNA". It matches the Rfam family "Eukaryotic small subunit ribosomal RNA", at positions 1 to 1147 of the family's 1831-position model. The record is from RNAcentral.
ACCUGGUUGAUCCUGCCAGUAGUCAUAUGCUUGUUUCAAGGACUAAGCCAUGCAAGUCUCAGAAUAAAUGGAUCACAGUGAGUCUGCAGACAGCUCAUUAAAUCAGCUAUAAUCUACGCCGAGAAACUGCCUCAUGGCAGACUAUUGGAUAACUUUGGUAACCCCAAAGCUAAUACAUGUCAGCAAAACCCGCACAGAUUCAACGGGGCCUCUGAGUCCUGAGGCUGUGUCGGGUGCAAUUGACCGAAACAAAAACCAACCCUAGCAAUAGGAGUGGUGAUUGGAUGACUCAGGUCAAUCGAGUAGUAGCGCAUACUUCGGUGGCGCUUGUCGGCACGAGUAUCUGCCCUAUCAGCUUUUGACGGUAGUGUAAUGGACUACCGUGGCUGUAACGGGUAACGGGGAAUUAGGGUUCGAUUCCGGAGAGGGAGCCUGAGAAACGGCUACCACAACUAAGGUUGGCAGCAGGCGCGCAAAUUGCCCAAUAGCAACACAUCGCUGAGGCAGCGAAGAGAAAUAGCAACUUCAUGCGGCCCUGCCGUGUGAAGAUUGCCAUGGACGAUAUCUAAACCUGUCGAUGAGUAUCAAUUGGUGGACAAGUCUGGUGCCAGCACCCGCGGUAAUUCCAGCACCAAUAGCGUAUAUUAAUGCUGCUGCUGUUAAAAAGCUCGUAGUUGGAUCCAGGGUCGGACAGUGCACGGUGGCCCUGUUUGCUUGCUUUGGCUCCGGUCAGGGUGGCGGCAGCGGAACUACCCCGUGCAUCAAACUGUCCGCUCUAACAGGCCGAAGCGGUUCCCUGUGAGUAGACUCCUUAAUUGGGGUUGAAAGCGCCUACGCAUCAACCACAUGCAUACGGGACGUCGGCCAAUGUUACUGUGAACAAACCAGCGUGUCCAAAGCAGGCUUGCCUGAAUGUUCGAGCAUGGAAUAACAAGGGAUCGAUUCUCUCGGUUCUUUUUGUUGGUUUUUAACCCGAGAAGGAGUAAUGCAGGCCACGGUGUCUGAGGUGGUUCCCUAGGCUUCGGUUUAGGCCCCAUCUAGGCCGUGUCCUUACGGGAUCAAUAGGGACUGACGGGGUCGUACCUACUUCCGCGUCAGAGGUGAAAUUCUUAGAUCGCGGGAAGAGGAACUUCUGCGAAAGCAUUCGACAAGAAUGUCUUCAUUAAUCAAGAACGAGAGUGUGGGGAUCGAAGAUGAUCAGAUACCGUCGUAGUCCACACUGUAAACAAUGCCGUCUCAGGAUUGAGAAGUGAACAGAAUGACUUUCACAGCACUAACCCCUGAAACGAGAAAUCAAAGAUUAUGGGUUCAGGGGGGAGUACAUUCGCAAGGCUGAAACUUAA